Molecule: long non-coding RNA, 1413 nt
Filed under: Heterocephalus glaber (naked mole-rat)
Lineage: Eukaryota; Metazoa; Chordata; Mammalia; Rodentia; Bathyergidae
Description: lncRNA (ENSHGLG00100041945.1)
Source: RNAcentral
CCACUGGAGAGCACAGAGAUUUUUGGUGUGCUGGACACAUGCCUGCUGCAGGACCUUUGCACGGCCUUCUUUGUCCCUUCUGCUUGGAUGCUAUUCUCCCAGACACCAUCAUGGCUCAGCCACCACCUCAAGGUGCCGCCACACCUUUGUCAAAGGGCUAAAUCAGAGGACAGCGGGGCCUCGCAGUAUGAGUGACACCCAUGCCACAUCCCACAGCCAAGCGGCCAUCCCCAGACCGAUCUCAGCGCUUCUGCAGCUGGGACACAGACCACCCAUUCCUCCAGCUCCCAUCCAGCUCUGCCCCACCGUUCCUACCAUGGACCAGGCCUCCGAGGCCACUGUGAGUGAAGGACAGAGAAAGUCACAGGCUGGAGCUGAUGCCACUGGUCUUGCCCCUGUCUAACCCCCCACGUCUCCACCAGGCAGCCUGGCUCUGUCCCGACUUUCCUGAUGGCGUGGGUCUCUCAGGUGGGUUGGGUAGCCAGGGAGUCUUCACCACUCCUGCCAUCCAGAGGUGUCCGUCUGGCUGGGCCUUGUGACCUGUGUGGACCAGAAUGCAGUGGAAGUGACACUACUCGGGGUCCAGGCUCAGCCCUUAAGAGAUGGUUGCUUCCCUCUGUCUUCCCCAAGCCGCUGCCAUGCAGUAAGGAAGCCCAGGCCGUUCUGCUGCCCAGACACUCCCAGGGUCCUCUGGGGGAACAAAGGAGGGCAAAGGAGGACAAGGACUCAGACCUGUCAGCAGGAACACUUGAGACCUCUACGGGAUACCAAUUCCCAGAUGAGACUUGCAGAGAAGCAGACCUGUGACAAGUUAAGAUGUCAUUAUCUUAAGGGCGCUGUGUCCAGGAGUGGUUAGUUUUGGAGGUGUCUUGGGUGUGACUUCAGCAUGGUUGAACGUCCUCCACUCAGCUGGAAGUGGUUCUUGGGGGUGCAGAGAGGCAUACAUUUCAGCCCCUGUGGGGGAAGGACCUGGCCUGUCUAGAAUCCUGACCAUCCAGGGGGCAAUGCUCACCCCCUCUGCUCCUCUCAGUCCUCCAAACUCUUCAUUCUCCAUAGCCUGGCAGAUGUCACAGUCAGCAGAUUUUGGGGUGGCUGGUAUCCCCACCAUGGUCAGCUGGCUAGAGAGGCUGCUGGUGACUCCUCUGUUCCACAUGCUGCCAUGACAACCAACAGCAGCCAGGCUGGUAGUGGGAGCCGUAGCUGGGGCGGGGUUGUUGUGUCCUGCGCAGAAUGGUUUGGUGCUCAGUCCAUCUGUCCCCCCUCGCAGAGGGUGAUGGCCUCCCUACAGCUGUGGGAUCUGUGUCAUAGACUGGGCUAUCUGAAGGGUGGGGAGGCCAGGCAGAGCGGCCUGGGCCUACUCUCGGACACAUGUCCACCCCUGCUGUAAUGAUUGAUUUUAAUUCUCAACUUGGG